Papaver somniferum (opium poppy) is the source of this 4571-nucleotide long non-coding RNA. RefSeq lists it as uncharacterized. The transcript is spliced from 9 exons. The record is from RefSeq and is a predicted model, not a curated record. Lineage: Eukaryota; Viridiplantae; Streptophyta; Magnoliopsida; Ranunculales; Papaveraceae.
CAGAUAAUUCAACCUACAGAAAAGAAUGUUUCAUUUGUUGUUUACUCUGAAAUUGUUCUAGGGUUUAGCAAAUUAUUUUCAGUUCGAAAUCAAAAUUUUUGUCAGAAGGUAAUGUUUAAGUUGAAGUGGUUCAGGUUAGCGGCCGGUGAUUAAUCCCAGCGAAAUCCGUUAGGAUUGCUGGUCCCAUGUUUGAUUUGCCAUCAAAAGCUUAAACUUUGAUGCUGAGUAAACUUGCUUCUGGAUCGGAAGUAAUUUGCAAUUUCUUGUAGAUGUAACUCAAAAUUGGGUUCUCAUAUCUAAUACCCACCCACACAUUGCAUUCAUGUUGAAUUGCUAAUUUUGUUCUCGAUCAGAUUUCAUAAAUGAAGGUUUGGGAUUGGAUUGUGAUGGUCAAUGGUAUAUGCUUGUUAAGAUGUUGGAGUGGAUAGCUGUAGAUGAACUUCCUGCAUUGUUUAAUGUUGGAGUGGAUAGCUCGAACAAAUUAUAUGGAACAAAAAUGUAGCAAUUACACAGAAGAAGGCUCUUUUUUCGUUGAAAAAAGCACUUGGAGUGCCAGAAAAUGUCAUUUCCUCUCCUGUACCAUCAUCGACACCCCUAUUCACAUUUGGAGCACCUACUAAUUCAAGCUCAGAUGACUUAUCUGCUUCGACCACUUCUUUGUUCUGUGCUCCUACUACUGUAGCUUCAGAGGCUUCCAAUGGUCUAAAUACAAGUUUAGAUACCACUAGCGCAACCACUAUUGUUGCUGCCAAUGGCAUCACCAACCCAUCCAACGUUGCUAGUACUAACAGCAGUAUAUCUACCUUACCAGCAACCCCUGCAGUGCCGUUCCAGUUUGGUUAAAGGUCUACCACAGCUGUUGUUUCAUUCACCUCAACUACUGCAAUUGCCAUCGUCUGUCUCAGAGGAUAAGCAUUUAGAGGGUAAAAUAAAGCAGCCAUCACCCUUUGGCAAUCUAACCUCUACUGGGGACACGCCAUCUACUACUACAAGUACUGGGAACGGCAUUUUUUAUUUCAAUGCUCCGGGUGCAGUGAGUCCCCCUUCUUGAAUAACAAAUCUCAGACUCAAGUCCUUUUGCAUCUACAACUGGAUCAUCUGUAUUCACCGCAAAGGCAGCCACUGCUGAAUCUGGAAGUGGGGCUGCAACAUCUACUAAUAGCACACUGAGUCCAUUUGGGUCUUCUGCUCCCUCUCCAACCUUCGGCUUUACCGCUCAACUGCAGUGAGCUCUAUUAGUUCUCCAUUUGGUAAUUUAGCCCCUGCUGCUAAUCCAUUUGGUUGAAGUCCUGGGUUUGGUCAAAGUUCUUCAACAUCCUUCUCUACAACUGCUGGUUAUUUCAGUUCUGAGACAACUGCAAAUUAGUUUAUUCAGUUCGAGUCUCAGUCUACUCCGUCUCCUGUUUUCGGUUCUGAAUUUGCCUCUGGAGCCUCAACUGGAGGGUUUUCAUUCUGGGGUUUAAGAACUGAUGCUGGUUCUACACCUUCUGCAUCAACGGGGUUUUCAUUUGGAUCAUUAACAACUCCUCUUGGCAGCUCCGCACCAUUGCCAAGGUCGUCUCCUUUCUCAUUCACCUGCGAUUGCUGGCACAGCCUCUUUGAACUCUCUCUUUCCUGUGUCUGGUUUUGAAACCUCAAUCCCUUUUAUGUUGGCACAUCCCCAAAUGAUGAUCAGAUGAAUAUGGAGGAUAGGAUGGUUGAGGAUGACCUUCGUAAGAACUUGUAACCGAAAACUUAGCUUCAAAUUGUCUGAUGUUUGGAAAAAAUAAGUGACAGAAAAAGCAAUAAUUAAGAGCUCGCAUCUCAUCAACUAUGGAUCAGUGGUUCAGAUUAGGUGAUACCUAUCGGUCUUAUGUUCUUGGGGUUACAUUUGGAUCGGUACCACUGAGAACAACUUACCAGAUGGGGACAUUGACUUGACCGCAUUUGGUGGUUAUCCAAACGUGAAAGAUACAUGGGCUAAUGAAGUUCAUAUUAUGUUGAAGAAUGAAGAGAAGAGUGAUACUGCUGAAUUCCAUGUAAAAGAGGUUCAGUACAUUCAAGCAAAGGCUUUUGUUGGUGAAGAUAAUAAAAGGCCUCGCGCAAAACAUAGGGGUAGAAAUAUCCUCGAGGAGGUUGGACAUUUGAUCGACCAAAACCAUCUUUUUGAGCGCAGCAUUAUACUAAUUAAGGCUUGGUGCAUGUAUUGUGAGAGUUGUAUUUUGGGUGCUCAUCAUGUCCUGAUUUCAACCUAUGCUCUUGAGACGUUGGUACCGUACAUAUUUAUUCUUUUGCUGGGUCUCAUGAGGUUCUUUAAUCGUAUCCUGGAAUUUUUCAGUAAUUGUGAUUGGGACAACUUUUGUUUAAGCCUCUGGGGUCCUAUCCCUUUUACAGCCUCACAGAUAUGACAGAAUCCCCUUGAAAGGAUGCUGGAGAGUUAUUACUCAAGAAACCCUUCCUCAAUGUUAGUACUUCAGUAUAUGCUGUUGUUCGAAUGCCCAAGAAAAUCCAGGCCAACCUUUUCUUUUUGUGCAUUUAACGUUGCCGACCAACUAUGUACCAACAACAACCUUGAAUGGUAAAGGUCAACAUUCUAAACUAAUUUCAUCAUUUCGCACACCUUCGAGUAUUCUCCUUCGUUGUUUUGUUCUUCUGAUGCCCUCGUUUCUAUAUGCAUUUGCCACUUAGUCGUCGUGACUUUAAACACAAUAUUUUAAUGUCACCACAGAAUGAAUGCCGCUUGAUAAAUUUACCAUAGAAAAGCUUAUAACUGAAUUACUAUUUGAACAUGAACUAGUUCUGUUUUCUGUGGUUGUGUUAAUUCAGGACGAACAAAGCGAUGAUUAUGAAAUUGAGAGGUUCUUUUUAUCUGUUAAUUAGAUUUUGAAAUCAAUAUCAAUUCCUGUAAGCUUUUGUAGAUGUUGUUUGGGCAUCCUUGGUUAUCGAGAUUAAGAAAAAAGAUAAUCCGAGCCAACCCAUCUUAUUUUAAUGUUUUUCUAACUGUUAGCCAAACGUAGAUUUGCUUGCAUCAGCAAAGGGUCGAGAAACUAUGAUUCACUGGGGAUGGCAGAAGGGUUCCUGGAGCAAUCUAAUGUGGGAACUCAUAAGGUUUAGCCAACAGUGUCUAUAGGGGGAAAUUACAUCUUUGAAAGUUCUCAUGAGCCUGAAAAUACUCAAGGUUGUGAUGUGGUUUUCAAAGGGGAACAGGAAGUUACUGACAUUGCUUUAUGAAUCCUAUAUAUAGUAUUCCUUCAUAAAGUUUCUCAUUACUAGGAGGAGGCUUCUUAUACCCGUGGUACAUGGUAUAUGCUGUGACUAGGGAUGUUACUCAAGAUAUUCUUUCGAUACCUUUACCCGUGGCUGAAUAUUUUGAUGAUAAAAUGAUUUGGCCACUUCACAAGUCUAGGGCAGUGACAGUUAAGAGUGCUUACUUUAAGCUUGUCACUUCCCAGCAAAAAUGCGUUGUCUAUGACAAGGAGUGGAGAUUCAUCUGGAAACCAUUGCCCCCAAAAACUUAGAAAAUUUUAUCUGGCUAUUAGUUAGCAAUAAGAUGAAUGUUAAAGAAAGAUUGUACAGAAGACACUUAGGCGAAGAUCCUUGUUGUUCUCUGUGUGGACAGGAUUUAGAAUAUAACUUUCAUCUUUUUUUCAAUUGUCCUGUUUUUUCACAGGUUUGGAGCAUGGUGUACAAUUACUGUGGCAUCAAAGUUCAUCUGGAACCUUUUAGUCCCACUUGAUUCAAAGAACAUUGUACGCAGAAGAUCAGCAAUUCUGAUUUGGAUUGGCGGUGCUUAUUUGUCCAUAUUCUCUGGCAUAUAUGGUUAGCUAGAAAUGCUUUUUAUUUUCAAAAGAAGAAUGUGGUUUGUAAGAAUGUCAUUAACUUAGCUGUUAAAGACACUAAGGAAUUCCUUAUGGCUAAUAAGAACCGAAAGAUAGAAGAGGCUAAGAAUAGAACGGUGGAACUACUUGUCCGAUGGAAUGUGCCUAAAUUGAGUUAUUUUAAGAUCAACACAGAUGGGGCUUCUAAUGAUUUGGGUAUUGCUGGUAUGGGAAGAGUUAUCAGGGACGACUCUGAAAGAUUUAAAGCUGCAUUUGCUAAACAUCUGGAAGAUUUAAAGCUGCACAAUAUGGCAGAGCUUCAAGCAAUAAGAGAAGGACUUAUGCUGGCCAGGGAGCUCAAAUUGUGCAGAGUGGUAGUUGAAAGUGAGUCGGAGUAUGCAAAUCCAAUGCUGCAGAGGAGAAGCAACCCCUUGCUGGUACCUACAGUCCAUUGUCAGAGAUAAAAUCUUUUUUGUUUUAUUUUGAUGAUUUGCAGUUUAGUCAUAGGUUCAGAGCAUCCAAUUGUGUGCCUGAUUGUUUGGCUAAAGCUGCUGUAUCUAAGGCUGUGGAAGGUGUGUGGAUGAAUACUCCACCUUCAAGGAUUGUAAAGUUGUUAAAAGAGGGACCCUCGUCCAUCUUAAAAGCCUCCACGGUACACUUUUUAUACCCAAAUUUAAUCAGGCAGCGGACAACACUUUGGGCCAAGAAGCAAAUUGGGUCACAUGAUACAUCCUGGCCAAAAUUUGAUUUUGAAAUUUUGGGGCACGGCAUAAA